Gopherus evgoodei (Goodes thornscrub tortoise) is the source of this 100-nucleotide long non-coding RNA. RefSeq lists it as uncharacterized. The record is from RefSeq and is a predicted model, not a curated record. Lineage: Eukaryota; Metazoa; Chordata; Testudines; Testudinidae. The transcript is spliced from 3 exons.
CAAAAAUCAACAUCUGGGGCUUAUAUUCCAGUUCAUAAUUGAAAGAGAUUAGUCUUGCAGACCAUCUAGCAAUAUGAUAUCCUGCUCUUCCCAGUCCUUU